This 3182-nucleotide long non-coding RNA is filed under the name Triticum aestivum (bread wheat). RNAcentral's name for it is "long non-coding RNA (TAES_LNC015738)". The record is from RNAcentral. Lineage: Eukaryota; Viridiplantae; Streptophyta; Magnoliopsida; Poales; Poaceae.
UAUUAACUAACUUUCAGAGAUCCUUUCUGCUUUGUAGUAGUACUUGAGGUUAUAAGGGUCAGUAAUUUACCUUUUGAUUGCCUUCAUGCCACCAGCAGUGCACCAUUAAAGAACUGAUGAACUGAUGCCUCUCACUGUCCUUCUUGAUUCUGCUAGUACCUCUCACUGGCCUUAUCUCAUUUUUCACAUUACUUCUUCCUCUUCUACUAGUACCUCUCACUGGCCUUCUUGAUUCUGCACCCAGCAAGCCCAAGAUGUCCAUAAAUCAAAGAAAAACCAACAAACACUGCACCAAAAGAUGUUGUUAAUAGGGUUGCAAGAAUGCUAAAAAUUACAAUAUAAACAAUGAUGCUAGAAUAGUAAUUUUGUAGCACCAUUCGACAACUACAAUUCAUGAAGGAAAUAUAUCAAAACAUCCACAAAGAGGUGCAUGAUUAUUAGUUUUCCAUGGAAAUUAUAAAAACUAUAUGCAUGUAGCUAGCUUUUCUCCUCUUGUUUUUUGGCAUACGCAAAGAAUAUGAAGUCUAAAAUGUUCUAAUUGUAAAACACACUCCAAAGCAAACCUAUUUUCCUAUUCCAUAUCAAAAUAUAAACUGUUUGAGGAUAAUCCAACUUGGAAAGGUAGUUAUCUUUUCCAAGGGACCUUCUCUAAGCAAUAAGAAGUAAGUUCAUGCCACAAAAGGGACCUUCUCUAAGCAAUAAGUAGAAAGUUCAGGUCACAAAGUUUACUCUUAGACAUAUAUACAAUAAAAUAAAACAAUGAUCGCUUGAACUAAUUGGAGAAUAACAUGCGAGCUUAUAGCAUUUGAUCACUUGAACUUAUAGCAAUAUGAAUAAGAAAUAUGUACGGCUUCCGACCUAUGGAGAUUAUAAGAAAUUUGUAAAUACUAGUACUGCAACCAACAUUUAUAAAUACUAGUGAACUUGAACUUAUGGUCUCUCGAGAUCUGAACUGAUUGUGUUACAAGCACACGCACAAAAAUCCAAUGAAGCUGAUAUUAGUACAUGUUAAAAAGAUAAUCAAGUUCAUGUAUAUUAAUUUUGAGAAGUUCAGAAAGAAACUUUUUUAUAAGUUUGUACUGAAAAGAUGUGCAAACAUAUGCAAACAUAUUUAGUGCUUUUUUUAGGAAGGAACUCAAUUCAACAAAACAUAAGCAAACAUCUCGGCUAUAGCAUAAGGACUAGAACAACUGCUGUAGCAUAAGGAAUAGAACAACUAUCAAUAUAAAUUGCACUGCUGUAGCAUAAGGACUAGAACAACUAUCAAUAUAAAUUGAUGUUUGUUGUCAUUGCACUGCUGUAGCAUAAGAACUAGUUGUUCUUGUCAUUCCACUGCUGUAGCAUAAGGACUAGAACAACUAUCAAUAUAAAUUGAUGUUUUUUUGUAGGUUUUUGGGAAUGAGAAUUCAUGUUGUUGGAACUAUAUGAAAGUUUAACUAUGUGUACUACUCCAUAUAUAGCAAACUCAUUACAACUGGAUCCAGGAAUAAGUACAUAGGUAGGUUCGGUUUCAUGUGAAAUAAAUAAAUUUAGCCAAAAAGAGAACAUAAAAUAAAGUACACAUUCUUAGAAACAUUUCAACAGGUUCUGAGCUUCCAUCAAACUUAGCUGAUUCUCUAGCACCAUUGUUUGCUUUUUCACAUAGAAUAUGUUUGGGAGACACAUGGGUUUAUAUAUUUUCCAACUUCCACUAUUGUUCUAAUCGAACUUUCGCAUUUUGCACAGGGAACUUUAAAAAAAAUUAGCUACUCAAAUGUUUUUUAGUAUAGGCGCUAAACCAGAAAAUGUUUCUUUUUUGUCUAAUGAACUGAUGUAAUUUAUUGUUACCGAAUAACUACUAUGGUGUACACAUACACAACUGAAUUAUUACUGAUUUCACUUUUUAUAUUGAAUUGACACAUAAAACAUGAUGCACCAGCAGAUGUGCUCAACAUAAAACACGGUGAAGUUUAUGCCAUAUAAAAAUAAAUGAACUUAUAAUGAAAUCCAGGGCUACUACUUUAAUUCAGUUCAACUUAUUUGUCUUAAACAUCAAAGUAAAACACGGUGAAGUUUAAAUGGAACUUCAAAUAAAGCUAUUCGAUGAGAGGCAACAUAGGGCUGGAGCGAUAACUCUCAACCCGUGCGUAGCCAAGAACACCAAAAUCGAUUUCCAUCUAACAUAACUCGGUACUGUAAAAACUAAAUCUACUUAAACAACGUCUUCCACUAGAGUACUGAUGGCAAUAACACAACCUUCCACCCAUAAAUUUAUGAAACUGCAUGAGUUCUAUUUUUUGAACUCCUCCCAUGGUUGCAUAUGAACUGAGCAAUAAGCACCAUCAUGUUUUUUCUCUGAACUUUAUAGGGGGUAAACACUUGAACUUAUGAAACGGCAGCUCACCAUGCACAUCUGCUUCAUACCUCUGUCUCGUUGCUCGAUGUGGUACACUUGCCACCUACUCGUUAUCGCCGGUCAUACCCUACACACAACAAUAGCCAAUUAAGGAUGCACCGCAAGACACCUAGGGUUGUAUCUUCGAUACACUUUGAACUAAAAAUAUAGUAGCACAAGAAAACAAGUCUGUACUCACAUUUUUAGAGUUCUCUAGGUACACCCCAGGACUUUUGAACUUAUGACAUGGUGGUUUUGGGUAGGCUAGAGGUGUAACCUUCCAUCUCAUUUCAAUUUAGGAUUCAUGUGGCACUUUGCUUCCCAUUCAACCUUGCUUCCCAUUUCAUUAGUACUAGUAUGAAUCAACAAUAAAUUUAGAAUUGUAGCAGCGUUAAGGAAACAGUGUCGAAAGCCACCAUUGAUGGACCACCACCGAUGGGAUCCUGAGGAGCCCCGCUGAUGGAUGACCAACAACUGCCGGGAGUCAUUUUUUUGCUUUCUAUUUGAACUCACCACCCUUCAAGUCUGAAACUGAUGCAAAACCAAUUUUUUUCUCCAGUAAUCUGCUGUAUUUUUUUCUAUGUAUUAAGCUAAGAUAUAAUACUAAAGCAAAAUUGUUUUUAACAGAUACAUUUUUACUAUUUUUCUGCAUGUCCUUUUAUGGGCUGAUGAUAUAUAUACAUGACAGAAUGGGAGAGAUAGGCAUGCAAGUAUGGCCGAACUAUUGUACCUUGGUCAAACCUAACGGAGAGUUUUGACAACACACAAAGAACUGACGAGUGUACAAUUCAUCAAACUUCGAAACGUG